Molecule: long non-coding RNA, 596 nt
Organism: Dromiciops gliroides (monito del monte)
Lineage: Eukaryota; Metazoa; Chordata; Mammalia; Microbiotheria; Microbiotheriidae
Exons: 3
Source: RefSeq, a predicted model, not a curated record
GAACCCAUUGCGAUCACUAAGAUUCCAUUUCCCAGAGUCCCUCGGAACAGGUCUGCGCUGUUCACCGCCCCUCAGCGCCAGUGCGGACCGCAGCGUUUCGGAGCCAGGCGGCGUUUGGAGGCUCCGUGGGAUCAGCUCUGCUUUCUCAAAGUGUGGGCCUUCUUCCAGAAAAGAGGCAAGAGGGGAAAGGAAGGAUGGCUUCUGUGCUCCUGGCAGCAGUGAGGUCCCAGAAGUCGUUGACAUUUAAGGAUGUGGCUGUGGACUUUACCAAGGAGGAAUGGAGGCAACUGAACCCUUCUCAGAGAGAUAUGUACAGGGAUGUGAUGCUGGAGAACUAUAAGAACCUAGUCUUCCUGGGUAAGGCCGUGUCCCCCUGGAAACCAGUCCCUGGGGGCUAAAUUUAGGCUGUGGAAUAUCUGAAUCACUCAGCUGAGUUUUAGUUUGGUUUUCAGGGUGGUUCAAGAACCCAUGUCAUAGAAGGAAUUGCUUGAAUUCUUUAGGGCAAACAAAACAUUUCUAUUCUCUCUUCACUAGUGAAGACUUUAAAACACAACAAUCUGGGAAGCCUGUGUCUCCACAGUGCAUCCCAUCAGGCA